RNAcentral lists this long non-coding RNA (1272 nucleotides) under Eucalyptus grandis. RNAcentral describes it as "long non-coding RNA (EGRA_LNC001806)". Lineage: Eukaryota; Viridiplantae; Streptophyta; Magnoliopsida; Myrtales; Myrtaceae. The record is from RNAcentral.
CAAAACCUGUAUAGUGAACAUUUCUCUUCUUAUUGCGUACAUACAAUGAUAGAUACACGUAUAAGAAAGACAGCACAGUUUAAAGUAGGGGCCUCAGUCAAUACUCUUCUCUACACAUUAAAUUUGGCAAGCAAACUCUCCAUACAGUAACAUUGUAUGAACCGAAAUCCACUAUGAUUAGAAAUCAAACAAAUGAAGACCUCCAAUAUGUUCUCCACUCAAACCUCGCCCUAAAUGCGCAGAACCUGUGGGCUUCAAGCAUUAACAGAUGCAACUCAUGCCAGAGAAGGGCUUCUUGAACUCAACCAAUUCAAAAUACGCACACCGCAUACUGCAGCAGAAUCUCAUAUCUUCUCCUUUUCUCCUUCCUGGUGCUUUGCAACACCGAACACUACAAGAGAGCACUAUGACAAUAACACCAACAACCACGAAACAUCCUCUGCUUUCUGAAGUACCAAUUCAGAUGAGGAUUCUCCAUAAAGGAAGCAAUACCUAAUUCCCUCACAACAUAUAUUUCACAGAAUGCCUACAAAACCACACACAGACAAACCAAACUCAAUGUACCAAUAAUUCAAAACAACUAAACCAGAAAAGAAAACAAUGGGAACACCCAAUUUGGAUGCUCACUGUCCACCUCUUCCAACUCAAAGGAAGCAACUUCAUGCCCCAAACCUAUCACAAAAUAAAUUGGGACCAGCUGACAGAGAAAACCCAAAUUUUCUUCUUGCAUGUAAAAGAGGUCAAGCCACGACAUCCUCAAACCACCCAAUUAACUAAACUGAUAUCGCUGCGCUCAAGGCAAAUGUAAAUCGGGGACACACCAUGCCAAUCACGCCGUGCCGAUGGCAUUUGAAAUAAAUCAACUUCUGGAUCAGAAUAAACACAAACCCACUUGCCCAAAAUCUCCACUUUCACCAGUACGCCAUCCCACUAGAGUGAUUUCAAUCAGAAAACAACCCCCCCCCAAUUGACGCAGUAGAGCGGCGUCAUGAGGACAAAAGGGUCAGUCUCCGAAGCGAUGUUGCUCGACCCAGCACAGCACACAGCUCCACGAGUCGCCGCUGCCGACGAAGAAGGAGAAGAAGAAGAGAAAAGGGUGUGGCGGAACAACUGGUCCCUCAAUCGGUUGCCGUCCUUGUCGCCGUUGCCGUCGCCGUCCCUGCCGCCGUCGCUGUCCCUGUCCCAUCGCAGCCACAGUCGCCGUCGCCGUCGACGGUGUUGUCACACCUUCAAGACGAGAGGAGACAGGAGAGAAUUAGAAAUAGGGUUGGC